This 433-nucleotide ribosomal RNA is filed under the name uncultured bacterium. Its description in RNAcentral is "partial 16S ribosomal RNA". It matches the Rfam family "Bacterial small subunit ribosomal RNA", at positions 29 to 507 of the family's 1533-position model. The record is from RNAcentral.
AACGAACGCUGGCGGCAUGCCUAACACAUGCAAGUCGAACGAGACCUUCGGGUCUAGUGGCGCACGGGUGCGUAACGCGUGGGAACCUGCCCUUAGGUUCGGAAUAACUCCCCGAAAGGGAUGCUAAUACCGGAUAAUGUCUUCGGACCAAAGAUUUAUCGCCUUUGGAUGGGCCCGCGUUGGAUUAGCUAGUUGGUAGGGUAAAAGCCUACCAAGGCGACGAUCCAUAGCUGGUCUGAGAGGAUGAUCAACCACACUGGGACUGAGACACGGCCCAGACUCCUACGGGAGGCAGCAGUGGGGAAUAUUGGACAAUGGGCGAAAGCCUGAUCCAGCAAUGCCGCGUGAGUGAUGAAGGCCUUAGGGUUGUAAAGCUCUUUUACCCGGGAUGAUAAUGACAGUACCGGGAGAAUAAGCUCCGGCUAACUCCGUG